GUCAAAGCGUUCAUUAAAGUCGAGUUGGCUUAGGGAUACGUUCGUUGGGUAGGGGAGCGUUCUGUAAGCCUGUGAAGGUGUGUCGUGAGGCAUGCUGGAGGUAUCAGAAGUGCGAAUGCUGACAUAAGUAACGAUAAAGCGGGUGAAAAGCCCGCUCGCCGGAAGACCAAGGGUUCCUGUCCAACGUUAAUCGGGGCAGGGUGAGUCGACCCCUAAGGCGAGGCCGAAAGGCGUAGUCGAUGGGAAACGGGUUAAUAUUCCCGUACUUGGUGUUACUGCGAAGGGGGGACGGAGAAGGCUAUGUUGGCCGGGCGACGGUUGUCCCGGUUUAAGCGUGUAGGUGUGUGUUCCAGGUAAAUCCGGUUCACUUUAACACUGAGGCGUGACGACGAGGCACUACGGUGCUGAAGCAACAAAUGCCCUGCUUCCAGGAAAAGCCUCUAAGCAUCAGGUAACACGAAAUCGUACCCCAAACCGACACAGGUGGUCAGGUAGAGAAUACCAAGGCGCUUGAGAGAACUCGGGUGAAGGAACUAGGCAAAAUGGUGCCGUAACUUCGGGAGAAGGCACGCUGACACGUAGGUGAAGUGAUUUACUCAUGGAGCUGAAGUCAGUCGAAGAUACCAGCUGGCUGCAACUGUUUAUUAAAAACACAGCACUGUGCAAACACGAAAGUGGACGUAUACGGUGUGACGCCUGCCCGGUGCCGGAAGGUUAAUUGAUGGGGUCAGCGUAAGCGAAGC
Molecule: ribosomal RNA, 743 nt
Filed under: Salmonella enterica
Lineage: Bacteria; Pseudomonadati; Pseudomonadota; Gammaproteobacteria; Enterobacterales; Enterobacteriaceae
Description: partial 23S ribosomal RNA
Rfam family: Bacterial large subunit ribosomal RNA
Source: RNAcentral